Molecule: ribosomal RNA, 463 nt
Filed under: uncultured bacterium
Lineage: Bacteria
Description: bacterial SSU rRNA
Rfam family: Bacterial small subunit ribosomal RNA
Source: RNAcentral
UGCAGUCGCAGGGGAUUCACUUCUUCGGAGGUGAUGAGACUGGCGCACGGGUGCGUAACACGUAAGCAAUCUGCCUACAGGAGGGGGAUAACCACCCGAAAGGGUGGCUAAUACCGCAUAAUGCAGCGGGGCCGCAUGGCCACAGUUGUUAAAGCCCUUCGGGGUGCCUGUAGAUGAGCUUGCGGUGCAUUAGGUAGUUGGUGAGGUAAUGGCUCACCAAGCCUGUGAUGCAUAGGGGUUCUGAGAGGAUGAUCCCCCACACUGGAACUGAGACACGGUCCAGACUCCUACGGGAGGCAGCAGUGAGGAAUAUUGCGCAAUGGGCGAAAGCCUGACGCAGCCACGCCGCGUGCCGGAAGACGGUCCUUUGGAUUGUAAACGGCUUUUAUCAGGGAAGAAACGACUGGAUUAGUCCGGUUUUGACGGUACCUGGUGAAUAAGCACCGGCUACUCCGUGCCAGCA